Molecule: ribosomal RNA, 1018 nt
Filed under: Cucumis melo (muskmelon)
Lineage: Eukaryota; Viridiplantae; Streptophyta; Magnoliopsida; Cucurbitales; Cucurbitaceae
Also listed under: 1 other name
Description: Eukaryotic small subunit ribosomal RNA
Rfam family: Eukaryotic small subunit ribosomal RNA
Source: Rfam by way of RNAcentral
AACCCUAAUUUUGUAAUUAGGGUUGUGCUUAAUGCAUGUUAAUCACUAAAUUUAAAAGUUUAGUUGCAAUUAAAGUAAAAUUAUCAAUCCUGUUUUCGCUGCAAAUCUUUGCUAUCCAUCAUCAUUUAAAUUUCUGUCCUAUCAACUUUCGAUGGUAAGAUACUGGCCAUUAUGGUGGUGAUGGGUGACAAACAAUUAGGGUUUGAUUUUAGAGAGAAAGCUGGAGAAACGCCUACCACAUCUAAGGAAGGCAACAGGUGCAAAAAUUGCUCAAUCCUAACACGGGGUUGUAAUGACAAUAAAUAACAAUACUAGGCUCUUUGAGUCUGGUAAUUAGAAUGAGUACAAUCUAAAUCCCAUAACAAUGAUCAAUUAGAAUGAAAAUCAAGUGUCAGCAGCGCGGUAAUUCUAGCUCCAAUAGCAUAUAUUUAAGUUGUUGUAGUUAAAAAGCUCAUAAUUGGACCUUGGGUUGGGUCGAUAUGUCCUUCUAUGAUGAGCACUAGCCAGCUCGUCCCUUUUGCCGGUAAUGCGAUCAUGGCCUUAGCUAGUCGGGUUGUGACUUUAGCAUUGUUACUUUGAAGAAAUUGAAGUGCUUAAAGCAAGCCUACACUCUAAUACGUUAGCAUUGGAUAACAUCAUAGAAUUUCAACCAUAUUCUGUUGGCUUUCGAGAUCAAAGUAAUCAUUAAUAGGGAUAGUCAGGGGUAUUUGUAUUUCAUAGUGAGAGGUGAAAUUCUUGAAUUUAUGAAAGACGAACAAGUGCCAAAGCAUUUGCCAAGGAUGUUUUCAUUGAUGAAGAAUGGAAGUUGGGGGCUUAAAGGUGAUCAACUACCAUCCCAGUCUCAACCAUAAAUGAUGUCGACUAGGGAUUUACGAUAUUGCUUUAAUGACUUCGCCAACACCUUAUCAAAAUCAAAAUCUUUGGGUUUCAAGGGGUGUAUGGUCACAAGGCUGAAACUUAAGGGGGUUGUUUGUCCCAUGGGUUUGGAAUUAGGGUGACUUGACAUUUGAAACCAAAC